GAACUAGUACCGUGAGGGAAAGGUGAAAAGAACCCUAAGUAAGGGAGUGAAAGAGAACCUGAAACCGUACGCCUACAAGCGGUCGGAGCACAUUUACUGUGUGACGGCGUGCCUUUUGCAUAAUGAGCCUACGAGUUACUGUUUCUAGCAAGGUUAAAUGUUUAAGACAUGGAUCCGUAGCGAAAGCGAGUCUGAAUAGGGCGCAUAGUUAGUAGUAGUAGACGCGAAACCGAGUGAUCUACCCAUGGGCAGGUUGAAGCUGUGGUAACACACAGUGGAGGACCGAACCAGUUGACGUUGAAAAGUCUUCGGAUGACCUGUGGGUAGGGGUGAAAGGCCAAUCAAACUCGGAAAUAGCUCGUACUCCCCGAAAUGCAUUUAGGUGCAGCGUUGAGCGAAAGUUUUAUAGAGGUAGAGCUACUGAUUGGAUGCGGGGGCUUCACCGCCUACCAAUUCCUGACAAACUCCGAAUGCUAUAAAAUGUUAAUCAGCAGUGAGGGCAUGGGUGCUAAGGUCCAUGUCCGAGAGGGAAAGAACCCAGACCAUCAGCUAAGGUCCCCAAAUGUAUGUUAAGUUGAAUAAACGAGGUUGAACUGCUUAGACAGCUAGGAUGUUGGCUUGGAAGCAGCCAUUCAUUUAAAGAGUGCGUAACAGCUCACUAGUCGAGCGGUUCGGCAUGGAUAAUAAUCGGGCAUAAACAUACUACCGAAGCUAUGGACUUGUAAAAGUGGUAGGGGAGCAUUGUAGUGUCGUCGAAGGUGAAGCGUGAGCUUUGCUGGAGAAGCUACAAAAGAAAAUGUAGGCAUAAGUAACGAUAAUGCGGGCGAGAAACCCGCACUCCGAAAGACUAAGGUUUCCUCAGCUAUGCUAAUCAGCUGAGGGUUAGUCGGGACCUAACGCGAACCCGAAAGGGGUAGUGGAUGGACAACAGGUUAAUAUUCCUGUACCUGCUCACACUAAAAGUGACGGAGGCGAAUAGUUAGUGCGCACAGACGGAAUUGUGCGUUGAAGGGAACAGUAAUGUCCUGAUAGUACACUAAGACUACGGUCGCGGUGAUAAUCUAGCGAAUCGACUUCCAAGAAAAGCGAGUGAAGCAGCCCGUACCCUAAACCGACACAGGUAGUUGGGAUGAGAAUUCUAAGGUGCUCGAGAGAUUCAUGGCUAAGGAACUAGGCAAAAUAGACGCGUAACUUCGGGAGAAGCGUCGCCCAUCGUAAGAUGGGCCGCAGUGAAAAGAUCCAAGCGACUGUUUAUCAAAAACACAGGGCUCUGCUAAAUCGAAAGAUGACGUAUAGGGCCUGACACCUGCCCGGUGCUGGAAGGUUAAGUGGAGGGCUUAGAGGUUUACCUCGAAGGUCUGAAAUGAAGCCCCAGUAAACGGCGGCCGUAACAAUAACGGUCCUAAGGUAGCGAAAUUCCUUGUCGGGUAAGUUCCGACCUGCACGAAUGGCGUAACGACUUCCCCGCUGUCUCCAACAUCGACUCAGCGAAAUUGAAUUGCCUGUCAAGAUGCAGGCUUCCCGCGGUUAGACGGAAAGACCCCGUGCACCUUUACUACAACUUUACACUGAUAACAGGCACAACAUGUGCAGAAUAGGUGGUAGGCUUUGAAGCAGAAACGCCAGUUUUUGUGGAGCCUCCUUUGAGAUACCACCCUUGUUUUGCUUGUUAUCUAACUGCGGUCCGUUAUCCGGAUCCAGGACCCUGUAUGGUGGGUAGUUUGACUGGGGCGGUCGCCUCC
Molecule: ribosomal RNA, 1742 nt
Filed under: Ctenophora environmental sample
Lineage: Eukaryota; Metazoa; Ctenophora
Description: partial Bacterial large subunit ribosomal RNA
Rfam family: Bacterial large subunit ribosomal RNA
Source: RNAcentral